CCAAGCGAAAGCUUUAAGCAUCCCACCUGGGGAGUACGCCGGCAACGGUGAAACUCAAAGGAAUUGACGGGGGCCCGCACAAGCGGAGGAACAUGUGGUUUAAUUUUAUGAUAUCGCGAGGAACCUUACCCGGGCUUGAAUUGCAGAUGACGGAUCCAGAGAUGGUGACUUCCUUCGGGACAUCUGUGAAGGUGCUGCAUGGUUGGCGUCAGCUCGUGCCGUGAGCGGGCGGCUUAAGUGCCAUUAACGAGCGCGACCCCUUUCGGCAGUUGCCAUCGGGUAAUGCCGGGCACUCUGGCGACACUGCCGCCGCAAGGUGUGAGGAAGGUGGGGAUGACGUCAAAUCAGCACGGCCCUUACGUCCGGGGCUACACACGUGUUACAAUGGGGCAUACAGAGAGUU
RNAcentral lists this ribosomal RNA (403 nucleotides) under uncultured bacterium. RNAcentral describes it as "bacterial SSU rRNA". It matches the Rfam family "Bacterial small subunit ribosomal RNA", at positions 847 to 1248 of the family's 1533-position model. The record is from RNAcentral.